GACGAACGCUGGCGGCGUGCUUAACACAUGCAAGUCGAACGGAAAGGCCUCUUUCGGGGGGUACUCGAGUGGCGAACGGGUGAGUAACACGUGAGUAACCUGCCCUUGACUUUGGGAUAACUUCAGGAAACUGGGGCUAAUACCGGAUAGGAGCUCCUGCUGCAUGGUGGGGGUUGGAAAGUUUCGGCGGUUGGGGAUGGACUCGCGGCUUAUCAGCUUGUUGGUGGGGUAGUGGCUUACCAAGGCUUUGACGGGUAGCCGGCCUGAGAGGGUGACCGGCCACAGUGGGACUGAGAUACGGCACAGACUCCUACGGGAGGCAGCAGGGGGGAAUAUUGCACAAUGGGUGGAAGCCUGAUGCAGCAACGCCGUGUGCGGGAUGACGGCCUUCGGGUUGUAAACCGCUUUCGCUCAUGACGAAGCUUUGUGUGACGGUAGUGGGUAAAGAAGCACCGGCUAACUACGUG
RNAcentral lists this ribosomal RNA (467 nucleotides) under uncultured bacterium. RNAcentral describes it as "partial 16S ribosomal RNA". It matches the Rfam family "Bacterial small subunit ribosomal RNA", at positions 28 to 507 of the family's 1533-position model. The record is from RNAcentral.